UACGUAGGGUGCAAGCGUUAAUCGGAAUUACUGGGCGUAAAGCGUGCGCAGGCGGUUUUGUAAGUCUGAUGUGAAAGCCCCGGGCUCAACCUGGGAAUUGCGAUGGAGACUGCAAGGCUUGAAUCUGGCAGAGGGGGGUAGAAUUCCACGUGUAGCAGUGAAAUGCGUAGAGAUGUGGAGGAACACCGAUGGCGAAGGCAGCCCCCUGGGUCAAGAUUGACGCUCAUGCACGAAAGCGUGGGGAGCAAACAGG
RNAcentral lists this ribosomal RNA (253 nucleotides) under uncultured bacterium. RNAcentral describes it as "partial 16S ribosomal RNA". It matches the Rfam family "Bacterial small subunit ribosomal RNA", at positions 524 to 776 of the family's 1533-position model. The record is from RNAcentral.